GCAUGUAGUACCGGAGGGAACCCAAAAGAGGGUCAUCUGGCUGGAGUAUUGACGGUAUCCCAGGAGAGAGGGUCUCCUAAGGAAAAGUGUGUUCCUUGACGUGUUCUGUAACUCCUGCAAAACCUAUCUGUCAGUCAUUCUGCAAAUAAAGACAUCACUUAGUUCAUCAUACUAUCUGAGUGCAGUGUCUUACUAUCUGGAGGAUCCACUCUGCCUGUUUUGCUCUCUUCAGCCUUCCUGAUACAUUGCUUCUAAGUUAAGCCGUAUACAUUGACCUCCCCACAUUUACAUUUGUUUCCUAAGGCACCCCCAAUGAUUAUAAUUACUAGCCUGAGACCCCGGGCGGCGCUCUUGUAUCACUACCCGGCACCUCACAGUGAUUAUGCCUCUCCUUCUCCUUUAAAGGAAAAACAUUUGCAUUCUGUGUUUUUAGUUGAGAAAGUAUUAUUCCAAUCUACGCAAAUGCUACUUUGUUUGAAAACUAAUUGCUGUGCCCAUUUUCCAAAUGCAUUUAAAUUCCUAUUGCUUUACAGUUAUGUAGUAUUGGCUGUACUAUAGUGUUUAUAGUGCCUGCAUUUUGGCUCUUUCUUUGCCCCCUAGUGGACAUAAUACAUAUAUAUAUAUAUUGUUCACAAUUAAA
Xenopus tropicalis (tropical clawed frog) is the source of this 640-nucleotide long non-coding RNA. RefSeq lists it as uncharacterized. The record is from RefSeq and is a predicted model, not a curated record. The transcript has 2 exons. Lineage: Eukaryota; Metazoa; Chordata; Amphibia; Anura; Pipidae.